RNAcentral lists this ribosomal RNA (465 nucleotides) under uncultured bacterium. RNAcentral's name for it is "partial 16S ribosomal RNA". It matches the Rfam family "Bacterial small subunit ribosomal RNA", at positions 28 to 506 of the family's 1533-position model. The record is from RNAcentral.
GAUGAACGCUGGCGGCGUGCUUAACACAUGCAAGUCGAACGAUGAAGCCCAGCUUGCUGGGUGGUUUAGUUGCGAACGGGUGAGUAACUCGUGAGUAACCUGCCCUUAUCUCUGGCAUAAGCCUGGGAAACUGGGUCUAGUACCUGCUAGGAGCUACUACCACCUGGAUGGUUCUGGAAAGAUUCAUCGGUUUUGGGUGGACUCGAGGCCUAUCCGCUCGUCGGUGAGGUAUUGGCUCCCAAAGGCGACGCCGAGUAGCCGGCCUGGGAGGGAGACAGGCUCCAGAGGGCCAGGGGAGCGGGCCAGAGUGCUACGGGAGGCAGGAGUGAAGAACAGAGGACACAGGGCGCAAGCAUGAUGCAGCGACGCCGGGUGAGGGAUGUCGGCUUUCGGGUUGUAAAACACUUUCAGGAGGGAAGAAGCGACAGUGACGGUACCUGCAGGAGAAGCACCGGCUAAUUACGU